GGGUCAGUAGGUUGGUCGUGCCACCGGUACGUACUGGUCUCACUGAUUCCUCCUUCCUGAAGAACCGUAAUGCCAUUAUUUUGGUGGUGCGGGGGAACAGGACUGUUACUUUGAAAAAAUUAGAGUGUUUAAAGCAAGCUAACGCUUGAAUACAUUAGCAUGGAAUAAUGAAAUAGGACGAUCGGUCCUAUUUUGUUGGUUUCUAGGAUUGACGUA
RNAcentral lists this ribosomal RNA (216 nucleotides) under Glomeromycotina sp. Its description in RNAcentral is "partial small subunit ribosomal RNA". The stretch from base 40 to 216 matches the Rfam family "Eukaryotic small subunit ribosomal RNA", at positions 686 to 864 of the family's 1831-position model. Lineage: Eukaryota; Fungi; Glomeromycota. The record is from RNAcentral.